AUGUCCGCAGGCGUUGCUCGGCAAUGCAGAGGGAGGUUCACGGGCAGAAAGAUGCCUCCUUCCUUUCGCCAGCGUCCGGUGGUUCACCGGCACUACCCACCAUUUGCUACGCUUAUCCGAGCGCCGGCGACAUGCUAUCCUCCUCCACCAUCUUUCAUGCCUGCGUCGGACGCCGGUCUGUCGUCUCCGUCGCCGCUGAGCCCGUCCACAGGUGCCAUGCUGCGCGCCUGCUUCCCGCCGGCGUGCCCCGCGCGCAGCCGCGUGGGAACCGCCCAGCUCAGUCCGUCGGCGGGAUCCUGCUUCCCGCCGUCACCGCAGGCGAAACUGCAGGCAGCAGCAUGGCGACAGGCAACUGCCUUCGGCCACCGUACGCUCCAUGGUGUCGGUCAAGAGGACCGCCACCGCAACCGCACAUCGGCGUCAUGCUGCCUCCACGGGACGCCGUCACAUGGCGCGCGGGGCUGA
Molecule: ribosomal RNA, 465 nt
Filed under: Triticum aestivum (bread wheat)
Lineage: Eukaryota; Viridiplantae; Streptophyta; Magnoliopsida; Poales; Poaceae
Description: partial small subunit ribosomal RNA
Source: RNAcentral